GUCCCAUAAUACUGAAAAUUUAAAACUGAAAAGAAGACAGUUUCAGUUACGCAGAGGACAUACUGACUAAAGGUUUUGUUUGGACUAAUGACAUCUUCCACACUGCUUUUGGUGGUAUACCAGUGAAGGGAAUCUUGGCUUGCAACCACCUUCUCUUGGUUGGCUCAGAACAAGCAUAAUUUAUCUUGCAGAUUAAUAGAAUAUCAACUCUAAGCUGGCUCCAUCAACUUUAGAAAUAGUACUCUUGACACAGCAUCUUCCCAGAAGAGAUGGUAGAACCCAUUAGAGUGCCCCAUUAAUAUUCUUGUACAUACCCACACGGCAUUGCCAUGGCGUACAGAGGCAGAUGAACUUUAGCCUGAAGUACAGGUUGUGUGUC
Molecule: long non-coding RNA, 379 nt
Filed under: Apteryx rowi (Okarito brown kiwi)
Lineage: Eukaryota; Metazoa; Chordata; Aves; Apterygiformes; Apterygidae
Description: lncRNA (ENSARWG00000018065.1)
Source: RNAcentral